CUCUUCCAACUCUAUGAUUCUAUGAUUCUAUAUUUAUGCAUUUCAUUUUUCCACCCUAAAGAACUCUGAAGAACUCUUUCAAGUCAUGGGUAACAAAAGGGCCACCCCAAGAAGAUCCCCUUGUACCCCAUUUUCUGUCUUUCACUUCUCUCCCCCCUCUGUUUAUUUAUAGGGUUCAGAUGCUGGUCCCUGUCCUGCAGAGGCUGAUCCUGGGCCCAGUUCAGACAGGGUCCCAGAACCUCAAGGGAGAACCUCUGAUGAAGAGCGCUGUGUUCAGGAGUCUGACAUGAAUAAUUCUAACUGUUCCAUGACAGAGGACAACAUACAUCUCAUGUGCGACAUAUUCAACACUUCCUCCAAAGAAAAGAAGAGGUCUCUGGCAGAUGGCAUUGCAUCCAAGUGCAUGGACCUGAUGCUGGAGCAUUUCUUGAAAUCAGAAGAAAC
Molecule: long non-coding RNA, 444 nt
Organism: Sceloporus undulatus (fence lizard)
Lineage: Eukaryota; Metazoa; Chordata; Lepidosauria; Squamata; Phrynosomatidae
Exons: 3
Source: RefSeq, a predicted model, not a curated record